RNAcentral lists this ribosomal RNA (261 nucleotides) under uncultured prokaryote. RNAcentral describes it as "partial 16S ribosomal RNA". It matches the Rfam family "Bacterial small subunit ribosomal RNA", at positions 524 to 784 of the family's 1533-position model. The record is from RNAcentral.
UACGGAGGAUGCGAGCGUUAUCCGGAUUUAUUGGGUUUAAAGGGUGCGUAGGCGGCUUUUUAAGUCAGCGGUGAAAUUUUGCAGCUUAACUGUAACAGUGCCGUUGAUACUGGGGAGCUAGGAUUUGGUUGCUGUGGGUGGAAUGUGUGGUGUAGCGGUGAAAUGCAUAGAUAUUACACAGAACACCGAUUGCGAAGGCAGCUUACUAAUCCAUCAUUGACGCUGAGGCACGAAAGCGUGGGGAUCAAACAGGAUUAGAUA